This 221-nucleotide long non-coding RNA is filed under the name Actinidia chinensis (golden kiwifruit). Its description in RNAcentral is "long non-coding RNA (ACHI_LNC000257)". The record is from RNAcentral. Lineage: Eukaryota; Viridiplantae; Streptophyta; Magnoliopsida; Ericales; Actinidiaceae.
UAAAAUUAAUAAAUUUAUUAGAUAUAUAUUGAUUAAUGGGCAAAUGUGCAACUAGGGUUAUUUUUCAGAAAAUAAUUAUUUGGACAUCACCCAAUUGCAUUUGACUUGAGUUUCGUCUUUGAAUUGAGAAGCUGCCAUCAUCUCUACAAUAGGAACCAUUUAGGAAAGUUACACUUUACCCAUGUGGUUUGCUCCGAAGAGACACCACACGAACACAUAAC